UGAGAAUUAGUUCAGUUGGUAGAACAUUGCGCUGUUAACGCAAAUGUCACAGGUUCGAGUCCUGUAUUCUCAG
Molecule: transfer RNA, 73 nt
Filed under: Pseudolactococcus laudensis
Lineage: Bacteria; Bacillati; Bacillota; Bacilli; Lactobacillales; Streptococcaceae
Description: tRNA-Asn
Rfam family: tRNA
About the family: Transfer RNA (tRNA) molecules are approximately 80 nucleotides in length. Their secondary structure includes four short double-helical elements and three loops (D, anti-codon, and T loops).
Source: RNAcentral